RNAcentral lists this ribosomal RNA (2774 nucleotides) under human gut metagenome. RNAcentral describes it as "bacterial LSU rRNA". It matches the Rfam family "Bacterial large subunit ribosomal RNA". The record is from RNAcentral.
AGCGUACACGGUGGAUGCCCUGGCAGUCAGAGGCGAUGAAGGACGUGCUAAUCUGCGAAAAGCGCCGGCGAGGUGAUAUGAACCUUUGACCCGGCGAUGUCCGAAUGGGGAAACCCAGUGCAAUUCGUUGCACUAUCGUUAACUGAAUACAUAGGUUAACGAGGCGAACCGGGGGAACUGAAACAUCUAAGUACCCCGAGGAAAAGAAAUCAACCGAGAUUCCCCCAGUAGCGGCGAGCGAACGGGGAGCAGCCCGGAGUCUGAAUCAGCUUGUGUGUUAGUGGAACGGUCUGGAAAGUCCGACGGUACAGGGUGAUAGUCCCGUACACGAAAAUGCACAGGUUGUGAACUCGAAGAGUAGGGCGGGACACGUGGUAUCCUGUCUGAAUAUGGGGGGACCAUCCUCCAAGGCUAAAUACUCCUGACUGACCGAUAGUGAACCAGUACCGUGAGGGAAAGGCGAAAAGAACCCCGGCGAGGGGAGUGAAAAAGAACCUGAAACCGUGUACGUACAAGCAGUGGGAGCCUACUUGUUAGGUGACUGCGUACCUUUUGUAUAAUGGGUCAGCGACUUAUAUUCUGUAGCAAGGUUAACCGAAUAGGGGAGCCGAAGGGAAACCGAGUCUUAACUGGGCGUUAAGUUGCAGGGUAUAGACCCGAAACCCGGUGAUCUAGCCAUGGGCAGGUUGAAGGUUGGGUAACACUAACUGGAGGACCGAACCGACUAAUGUUGAAAAAUUAGCGGAUGACUUGUGGCUGGGGGUGAAAGGCCAAUCAAACCGGGAGAUAGCUGGUUCUCCCCGAAAGCUAUUUAGGUAGCGCCUCGUGAAUUCAUCUUCGGGGGUAGAGCACUGUUUCGGCUAGGGGGUCAUCCCGACUUACCAACCCGAUGCAAACUACGAAUACCGAAGAAUGUUAUCACGGGAGACACACGGCGGGUGCUAACGUCCGUCGUGAAGAGGGAAACAACCCAGACCGCCAGCUAAGGUCCCAAAGUCAUGGUUAAGUGGGAAACGAUGUGGGAAGGCACAGACAGCCAGGAUGUUGGCUUAGAAGCAGCCAUCAUUUAAAGAAAGCGUAAUAGCUCACUGGUCGAGUCGGCCUGCGCGGAAGAUGUAACGGGGCUAAACCAUGCACCGAAGCUGCGGCAGCGACACUAUGUGUUGUUGGGUAGGGGAGCGUUCUGUAAGCCGUUGAAGGUGGCCUGUGAGGGUUGCUGGAGGUAUCAGAAGUGCGAAUGCUGACAUAAGUAACGAUAAAGCGGGUGAAAAGCCCGCUCGCCGGAAGACCAAGGGUUCCUGUCCAACGUUAAUCGGGGCAGGGUGAGUCGACCCCUAAGGCGAGGCCGAAAGGCGUAGUCGAUGGGAAACAGGUUAAUAUUCCUGUACUUGGUGUUACUGCGAAGGGGGGACGGAGAAGGCUAUGUUAGCCGGGCGACGGUUGUCCCGGUUUAAGCAUGUAGGCGGAGGUUCCAGGUAAAUCCGGUACCUUUUUAACGCUGAGGUGUGAUGACGAGGCACUACGGUGCUGAAGUAACAAAUGCCCUGCUUCCAGGAAAAGCCUCUAAGCAUCAGGUAACACGAAAUCGUACCCCAAACCGACACAGGUGGUCAGGUAGAGAAUACCAAGGCGCUUGAGAGAACUCGGGUGAAGGAACUAGGCAAAAUGGUGCCGUAACUUCGGGAGAAGGCACGCUGAUAUGUAGGUGAAGCCCCUGCGGGUGGAGCUGAAAUCAGUCGAAGAUACCAGCUGGCUGCAACUGUUUAUUAAAAACACAGCACUGUGCAAACACGAAAGUGGACGUAUACGGUGUGACGCCUGCCCGGUGCCGGAAGGUUAAUUGAUGGGGUUAGCGGCAACGCGAAGCUCUUGAUCGAAGCCCCGGUAAACGGCGGCCGUAACUAUAACGGUCCUAAGGUAGCGAAAUUCCUUGUCGGGUAAGUUCCGACCUGCACGAAUGGCGUAAUGAUGGCCAGGCUGUCUCCACCCGAGACUCAGUGAAAUUGAACUCGCUGUGAAGAUGCAGUGUACCCGCGGCAAGACGGAAAGACCCCGUGAACCUUUACUAUAGCUUGACACUGAACAUUGAGCCUUGAUGUGUAGGAUAGGUGGGAGGCUUUGAAGCGUGGACGCCAGUCUGCGUGGAGCCGACCUUGAAAUACCACCCUUUAAUGUUUGAUGUUCUAACGUUGGCCCCUUACCGGGGUUGCGGACAGUGUCUGGUGGGUAGUUUGACUGGGGCGGUCUCCUCCCAAAGAGUAACGGAGGAGCACGAAGGUUAGCUAAUCCUGGUCGGACAUCAGGAGGUUAGUGCAAUGGCAUAAGCUAGCUUGACUGCGAGCGUGACGGCGCGAGCAGGUGCGAAAGCAGGUCAUAGUGAUCCGGUGGUUCUGAAUGGAAGGGCCAUCGCUCAACGGAUAAAAGGUACUCCGGGGAUAACAGGCUGAUACCGCCCAAGAGUUCAUAUCGACGGCGGUGUUUGGCACCUCGAUGUCGGCUCAUCACAUCCUGGGGCUGAAGUAGGUCCCAAGGGUAUGGCUGUUCGCCAUUUAAAGUGGUACGCGAGCUGGGUUUAGAACGUCGUGAGACAGUUCGGUCCCUAUCUGCCGUGGGCGCUGGAGAAUUGAGGGGGGCUGCUCCUAGUACGAGAGGACCGGAGUGGACGCAUCACUGGUGUUCGGGUUGUCAUGCCAAUGGCACUGCCCGGUAGCUAAAUGCGGAAGAGAUAAGUGCUGAAAGCAUCUAAGCACGAAACUUGCCCCGAGAUGAGUUCU